UUAAAGAGCCGCGGUAUUUUGACCGUGCGAAGGUAGCAUAAUAAUUAGUCUCCUAAUUAGAGGCUUGUAUGAAUGGUCGGACAAGAUGGAAACUGUCUCAAUACAAUAAAUAAAAUUUAAUAUUUAAGUAAAAAAGCUUAAAUAAAAUGGAGGGACGAUAAGACCCUAUAAAGCUUUAUAUUACAUUUCUUUUUUAUAAAUUAUUUCGUUAUUAACUUAUUUUAGAAUUUGUAUUAUUUUACUGGGGCGGUAAAAGUAUAAUGAAGAUUAACUGCUUUUGUUUUGUAAAACAAUUAUAGUUGAAAAUAAUUUGAUCCAUUAUUAAUGAUCAUAAGAACAAGUUACUUUAGGGAUAACAGCGUAAUUUUUUUUGAGAGUUCUUAUCGAAAAAAAAGUUUGCGACCUCGAUGUUGAAUUAAGGUUACCUUAAGGUGCAGCAGUUUCA
Molecule: ribosomal RNA, 445 nt
Filed under: Oratosquillina anomala
Lineage: Eukaryota; Metazoa; Arthropoda; Malacostraca; Stomatopoda; Squillidae
Description: partial 16S ribosomal RNA
Rfam family: Bacterial large subunit ribosomal RNA
Source: RNAcentral